This is a long non-coding RNA of Heterocephalus glaber (naked mole-rat), 703 nucleotides long. NCBI's taxonomy places the organism in Eukaryota, Metazoa, Chordata, Mammalia, Rodentia, Bathyergidae. The record is from Ensembl.
GUACAAUCAACGGUCGAUGGUUUUGAUUUUAAUUCCAAACUCACCGACAGCGUUGAAUGUUCACUGAAGCAACCUCUAAACUCAGAAUUCUGUUGACUUUACAGCCUCUUUUAGACUGCUGCCUGAAACAAAAAUGAGGGAAGGACAAAUGGAAGGAAGAAUGUGUAUGUCACUCCAUUUUUCCACAAUGCAUGGAUGAAUGACACCAAAAUUUGGCAAAUAAUACUGAUUUGAAAGCUUGGAGAAAACACACCGUUCUGUGAAGCCACACUGCAAGACUGUCUCUGAUAAGUCUUCACCCAGGCAUUGCUCUCAAGGAGGACUCAGCCCAGGAAUCAGAGACAGAAAGUCUGUCGCCGAGGAUUCGGACUCGAGGUGCAGCUGAAAGUGUGAAGGAGCCGUUGCUUUCGGCUCUUGUCUGUCAGGAGUUUGUGAUUACGAGCUGGAAAAAGUGCACCCCUUGCAGAGGCUCAAGUGCCUGAAUUCUCCAACGGCGAUUAAUUAGGGCGGCCAAAAUUCAAAGUAAGGAAAUAACUAACAAGUUUUCAGAAUGAAUGGAAUUAAUUUACAAUGUAUGGUAGGCGAUCUGCCCAAUUGCUGUGCCCUUUGGACAAGUAAAAUGAUGAAGAGACUACAUAUUCUACUAAUUCCAUGUGAAUUUCUUCAGCUAAUUCCUAGAGCUUUUGUGUUCCAUUACAUAUAG